AUAAAAACUCCAAAUCAUAUAAAAUUUGCACCCAAUUUGUAUCCAAAACCUUAAACUUACUGAUAUUAGCCUCCAAAGCUUGCAUGAAUUCAAAAGAGAAAUCCUAAUCCCUAAUAAGGCCUCGAGCAGCCUCCUUGAAGUCCAUUGGGCAUAGCCUUUGAUCAAUAAGAAUGAAGAUCUUCAUUCCUUGCCUUCAUUCAAUCAUGCCUUGUUUUCAUCCCUCCUAAUAAGCCUCCUAUUAGUUAAGAUUUUCUUCUUUAGGCUCUAAUCUCCUCUCAAGGCUUCAUACUAAAUAUUUAGGUCCUGUAAUUUUUUUAAAUGCUAUAAUCAAAAAAGAUAAAACUCAAAAUAAAGUUUUUUAUUUCACUCUUUUAAAAUUAAUCUAUUAACCAUUCUAACAUAUACCAAGACUUAUGAACAUAUUAUA
This 427-nucleotide long non-coding RNA is filed under the name Physcomitrium patens. Its description in RNAcentral is "long non-coding RNA (PPAT_LNC013786)". The record is from RNAcentral. Lineage: Eukaryota; Viridiplantae; Streptophyta; Bryopsida; Funariales; Funariaceae.